GUAAGCUUUUAUCCCCUGUAUUUGUACUAAUAUAUUUGCAGAAAAAUAAAAACGACAAAAAAAAUUAAUAAAACAAACAAAACCCUCACCAGUAACCACCGCCCUUACUCAUAAACAGCGGCAGCAAUACCCAAAUUCUUCACCGGCGGCUGCGGAGGCGACGGAGGAAGUCCAGAAGAGAAAUUCGUCAACGGAGCGUCAUCUUCGAAAUUCAACGAGUAACUCAAAGGAUCAUAACGGAACUCAGCAGAUGAGUGUCGUUUAUGGCGGUUUCCGUUCCCGUUACUGAUGAAAUUGAAGAUCGUACGGCACUUGUCUUUGAUAUCAGGCUUGAUCCAGAUCAGCGACGGGUUUUCAUCGGAGGACGACGGCUGCCGUGACGGCGGAGGGUGGUAAUCGAGGGAGUGAAGUUUGGUGGUGGUGUUGCGGUGGGUGAAACAGCAGGAGAAACAGAGUGAGUUUUUGAGUUUUUGUUUGAGUGAUGGUGGAGAAUUGGGUAUGGUGAAUUCGUCGUCCUCCAUUGGAGAGAGUGUGAGAAGCUUGUAAGUGAGUGAGUG
This 557-nucleotide unclassified non-coding RNA is filed under the name Hevea brasiliensis (rubber tree). Lineage: Eukaryota; Viridiplantae; Streptophyta; Magnoliopsida; Malpighiales; Euphorbiaceae. The record is from RNAcentral.